AAACCAACAGGGAUUGCCCUAGUAACGGCNAGUGAAGCGGCAACAGCUCAAAUUUGAAAUCUGGCUUUCGGGCCCGAGUUGUAAUUUGUAGAGGAUGAUUUUGAUGCGGUGCCUUCCGAGUUCCCUGGAACGGGACGCCAUAGAGGGUGAGAGCCCCGUCUGGUUGGAUGCCAAAUCUCUGUAAAUCUCCUUCGACGAGUCGAGUAGUUUGGGAAUGCUGCUCUAAAUGGGAGGUAUAUGUCUUCUAAAGCUAAAUACCGGCCAGAGACCGAUAGCGCACAAGUAGAGUGAUCGAAAGAUGAAAAGCACUUUGAAAAGAGAGUUAAAAAGUACGUGAAAUUGUUGAAAGGGAAGCGUUUAUGACCAGACUUGGGCUUGGUUAAUCAUCUGGGGUUCUCUCCAGUGCACUUUUCCAGUCCAGGCCAGCAUCAGUUUUCGCCGGGGGAUAAAGGCUUCGGGAAUGUGGCUCCCCUCGGGGAGUGUUAUAGCCCGUUGUGUAAUACCCUGGUGGGGACUGAGGUCGCGCUUCUGCAAGGAUGCUGGCGUAAUGGUCAUCAACGAC
This 562-nucleotide ribosomal RNA is filed under the name Fusarium sp. OTU37 TS-2013. RNAcentral's name for it is "eukaryotic LSU rRNA". It matches the Rfam family "Eukaryotic large subunit ribosomal RNA", at positions 62 to 648 of the family's 3401-position model. Lineage: Eukaryota; Fungi; Ascomycota; Sordariomycetes; Hypocreales; Nectriaceae. The record is from RNAcentral.